CUCUAGGUGAAACAUCUGCUUAAAAAUGGACAAAGUAUAGGAUAGCAUAGAAAAGGAACCAGAGGGAAGUAGGGACAAAAGCCAACUGAAUAGAGCAAUGGGUCUCAACUAGGGGUGAACAGGGUUUGGACAAUGUCUGGAGACAUUUCUGGUUGUCACACCUGGGGAGGUUCAACUGGCAUCUAGUGGAUGCAGGCCAGGGCUGCUACUCAACAUCCUAAAAUGCACAGGACAUGCCCCAUCCUGUCCCCAAAGAAUUCGUCAGCCCAAAACGUCAGUAGUGCCAUGGAGGAGAAACCUUGGAUGUGAAAAACAGGAGCAGCUGCAUCGGGACACAGUAAGUAGAAAAAUGCAGAUAUGUCAGGAAAUACGGGAGUAAUAUGAAAACAAAACAAAGCAAGGGAACAAGAGGCAGCACCGAGAGAGGACAAGUAAUGAGGGUGG
Molecule: long non-coding RNA, 444 nt
Filed under: Homo sapiens (human)
Lineage: Eukaryota; Metazoa; Chordata; Mammalia; Primates; Hominidae
Description: LHRI_LNC1307.1
Source: RNAcentral